AUUGAACGCUGGCGGCAGGCCUAACACAUGCAAGUCGAACGGUAACAGGAAGCAGCUUGCUGCUUCGCUGACGAGUGGCGGACGGGUGAGUAAUGUCUGGGAAGCUGCCUGAUGGAGGGGGAUAACUACUGGAAACGGUAGCUAAUACCGCAUAAUGUCGCAAGACCAAAGAGGGGGACCUUCGGGCCUCUUGCCAUCGGAUGUGCCCAGAUGGGAUUAGCUUGUUGGUGGGGUAACGGCUCACCAAGGCGACGAUCCCUAGCUGGUCUGAGAGGAUGACCAGCCACACUGGAACUGAGACACGGUCCAGACUCCUACGGGAGGCAGCAGUGGGGAAUAUUGCACAAUGGGCGCAAGCCUGAUGCAGCCAUGCCGCGUGUAUGAAGAAGGCCUUCGGGUUGUAAAGUACUUUCAGCGGGGAGGAAGGGAGUAAAGUUAAUACCUUUGCUCAUUGACGUUACCCGCAGAAGAAGCACCGGCUAACUCCGUGCCAGCAGCCGCGGUAAUACGGAGGGUGCAAGCGUUAAUCGGAAUUACUGGGCGUAAAGCGCACGCAGGCGGUUUGUUAAGUCAGAUGUGAAAUCCCCGGGCUCAACCUGGGAACUGCAUCUGAUACUGGCAAGCUUGAGUCUCGUAGAGGGGGGUAGAAUUCCAGGUGUAGCGGUGAAAUGCGUAGAGAUCUGGAGGAAUACCGGUGGCGAAGGCGGCCCCCUGGACGAAGACUGACGCUCAGGUGCGGAAGCGUGGGGAGCAAACAGGAUUAGAUACCCUGGUAGUCCACGCCGUAAACGAUGUCGACUUGGAGGUUGUGCCCUUGAGGCGUGGCUUCCGGAGCUAACGCGUUAAGUCGACCGCCUGGGGAGUACGGCCGCAAGGUUAAAACUCAAAUGAAUUGACGGGGGCCCGCACAAGCGGUGGAGCAUGUGGUUUAAUUCGAUGCAACGCGAAGAACCUUACCUGGUCUUGACAUCCACGGAAGUUUUCAGAGAUGAGAAUGUGCCUUCGGGAACCGUGAGACAGGUGCUGCAUGGCUGUCGUCAGCUCGUGUUGUGAAAUGUUGGGUUAAGUCCCGCAACGAGCGCAACCCUUAUCCUUUGUUGCCAGCGGUCCGGCCGGGAACUCAAAGGAGACUGCCAGUGAUAAACUGGAGGAAGGUGGGGAUGACGUCAAGUCAUCAUGGCCCUUACGACCAGGGCUACACACGUGCUACAAUGGCGCAUACAAAGAGAAGCGACCUCGCGAGAGCAAGCGGACCUCAUAAAGUGCGUCGUAGUCCGGAUUGGAGUCUGCAACUCGACUCCAUGAAGUCGGAAUCGCUAGUAAUCGUGGAUCAGAAUGCCACGGUGAAUACGUUCCCGGGCCU
This 1363-nucleotide ribosomal RNA is filed under the name uncultured bacterium. RNAcentral describes it as "bacterial SSU rRNA". It matches the Rfam family "Bacterial small subunit ribosomal RNA", at positions 28 to 1381 of the family's 1533-position model. The record is from RNAcentral.